GCAGGCAUUACGCGCAUGCGUCCCAGUAGUGAGUCGAAGUAGAGUGUCGCAGUACAAAUCGCCUGACCGACGGAAACCCAAAAAAAUUGGUAAAUUAGGAAAGUGGAGUGAGACAGUAGAUGCGGUGCAGUGUAGUGGGUGUUUUGUAAAGCCCUAGGGCCAGAAACCCUACAGAAAAAUGUUGUGCCUGCACCGGGAAUCCGCGAUAAUGGAGUAGUGUGGAUGUGCUAAGAGAUCGGCCUUUCGUUCGCUGCAAAAAUUAUGUAGCGGCUUGUGAGAGCAACAUCCCAAGACGACGGUGAAUGGAAGUGGCUGGCUUGGAUCGCUGGCAGAGGCCAGCAAUCAUCUGGG
Molecule: long non-coding RNA, 351 nt
Organism: Armigeres subalbatus
Lineage: Eukaryota; Metazoa; Arthropoda; Insecta; Diptera; Culicidae
Exons: 3
Source: RefSeq, a predicted model, not a curated record